Molecule: ribosomal RNA, 468 nt
Filed under: uncultured bacterium
Lineage: Bacteria
Description: partial 16S ribosomal RNA
Rfam family: Bacterial small subunit ribosomal RNA
Source: RNAcentral
GACGAACGCUGGCGGCGUACUUAACACAUGCAAGUCGAACGGAAAGGCCCUGCUUUUGUGGGGUGCUCGAGUGGCGAACGGGUGAGUAACACGUGAGUAACCUGCCCUUGACUUUGGGAUAACUUCAGGAAACUGGGGCUAAUACCGGAUAGGAGCUCCUGCUGCAUGGUGGGGGUUGGAAAGUUUCGGCGGUUGGGGAUGGACUCGCGGCUUAUCAGCUUGUUGGUGGGGUAGUGGCUUACCAAGGCUUUGACGGGUAGCCGGCCUGAGAGGGUGACCGGCCACAUUGGGACUGAGAUACGGCCCAGACUCGUACGGGAGGCAGCAGUGGGGAAUAUUGCACAAUGGGCGGAAGCCUGAUGCAGCAACGCCGCGUGCGGGAUGACGGCCUUCGGGUUGUAAACCGCUUUCGCCUGUGACGAAGCGUGAGUGACGGUAAUGGGUAAAGAAGCACCGGCUAACUACGUG